RNAcentral lists this ribosomal RNA (466 nucleotides) under uncultured bacterium. RNAcentral's name for it is "partial 16S ribosomal RNA". It matches the Rfam family "Bacterial small subunit ribosomal RNA", at positions 29 to 507 of the family's 1533-position model. The record is from RNAcentral.
ACGCACGCUGGCGCGUGCUUAACACAUGCAAGUCGAACGGAAAGGCCCUGCUUUUGUGGGGUGCUCGAGUGGCGAACGGGUGAGUAACACGUGAGUAACCUGCCCUUGACUUUGGGAUAACUUCAGGAAACUGGGGCUAAUACCGGAUAGGAGCUCCUGCUGCAUGGUGGGGGUUGGAAAGUUUCGGCGGUUGGGGAUGGACUCGCGGCUUAUCAGCUUGUUGGUGGGGUAGUGGCUUACCAAGGCUUUGACGGGUAGCCGGCCUGAGAGGGUGACCGGCCACAUUGGGACUGAGAUACGGCCCAGACUCCUACGGGAGGCAGCAGUGGGGAAUAUUGCACAAUGGGCGGAAGCCUGAUGCAGCAACGCCGCGUGCGGGAUGACGGCCUUCGGGUUGUAAACCGCUUUCGCCUGUGACGAAGCGUGAGUGACGGUAAUGGGUAAAGAAGCACCGGCUAACUACGUG